This 1346-nucleotide ribosomal RNA is filed under the name uncultured bacterium. Its description in RNAcentral is "bacterial SSU rRNA". It matches the Rfam family "Bacterial small subunit ribosomal RNA", at positions 28 to 1381 of the family's 1533-position model. The record is from RNAcentral.
GACGAACUUUGGCGGCGUGCUUAACGCAUGCAAGUCGAACGGAAAGGCCCUGCUUUUGUGGGGUGCUCGAGUGGCGAACGGGUGAGUAACACGUGAGUAACCUGCCCUUGACUUUGGGAUAACUUCAGGAAACUGGGGCUAAUACCGGAUAGGAGCUCCUGCUGCAUGGUGGGGGUUGGAAAGUUUCGGCGGUUGGGGAUGGACUCGCGGCUUAUCAGCUUGUUGGUGGGGUAGUGGCUUACCAAGGCUUUGACGGGUAGCCGGCCUGAGAGGGUGACCGGCCACAUUGGGACUGAGAUACGGCCCAGACUCCUACGGGAGGCAGCAGUGGGGAAUAUUGCACAAUGGGCGGAAGCCUGAUGCAGCAACGCCGCGUGCGGGAUGACGGCCUUCGGGUUGUAAACCGCUUUCGCCUGUGACGAAGCGUGAGUGACGGUAAUGGGUAAAGAAGCACCGGCUAACUACGUGCCAGCAGCCGCGGUGAUACGUAGGGUGCGAGCGUUGUCCGGAUUUAUUGGGCGUAAAGGGCUCGUAGGUGGUUGAUCGCGUCGGAAGUGUAAUCUUGGGGCUUAACCCUGAGCGUGCUUUCGAUACGGGUUGACUUGAGGAAGGUAGGGGAGAAUGGAAUUCCUGGUGGAGCGGUGGAAUGCGCAGAUAUCAGGAGGAACACCAGUGGCGAAGGCGGUUCUCUGGGCCUUUCCUGACGCUGAGGAGCGAAAGCGUGGGGAGCGAACAGGCUUAGAUACCCUGGUAGUCCACGCUGUAAACGGUGGGUACUAGGUGUGGGGUCCAUUCCACGGGUUCCGUGCCGUAGCUAACGCUUUAAGUACCCCGCCUGGGGAGUACGGCCGCAAGGCUAAAACUCAAAGGAAUUGACGGGGCCCCGCACAAGCGGCGGAGCAUGCGGAUUAAUUCGAUGCAACGCGUAGAACCUUACCUGGGUUUGACAUGGAUCGGGAGUGCUCAGAGAUGGGUGUGCCUCUUUUGGGGUCGGUUCACAGGUGGUGCAUGGCUGUCGUCAGCUCGUGUCGUGAGAUGUUGGGUUAAGUCCCGCAACGAGCGCAACCCUUGUUCACUGUUGCCAGCACGUUAUGGUGGGGACUCAGUGGAGACCGCCGGGGUCAACUCGGAGGAAGGUGGGGAUGACGUCAAGUCAUCAUGCCCCUUAUGUCCAGGGCUUCACGCAUGCUACAAUGGCUGGUACAGAGAGUGGCGAGCCUGUGAGGGUGAGCGAAUCUCGGAAAGCCGGUCUCAGUUCGGAUUGGGGUCUGCAACUCGACCUCAUGAAGUCGGAGUCGCUAGUAAUCGCAGAUCAGCAACGCUGCGGUGAAUACGUUCCCGGGGCU